GUUGUGGGGAAUGUUGUCUGGCUCGAGGUACAUCUGGGGUUAUCUUGAGUCACAUUCCAGAUGAUCUCGGACCAGGCUUCAUUCCCCUCAAC
Molecule: microRNA precursor, 92 nt
Filed under: Amborella trichopoda
Lineage: Eukaryota; Viridiplantae; Streptophyta; Magnoliopsida; Amborellales; Amborellaceae
Description: pre miRNA mir-166
Rfam family: mir-166 microRNA precursor family
About the family: This family represents the plant microRNA (miRNA) precursor mir-166. Animal miRNAs are transcribed as ~70nt precursors and subsequently processed by the Dicer enzyme to give a ~22nt product.
Source: Rfam by way of RNAcentral